GCAUUGGUGGUUUGGUGUUAAAAUCCUCACCUUCCAUGCUGGAGACCUGGGUUCGAUUCCCAGACAAUGUA
RNAcentral lists this transfer RNA (71 nucleotides) under Loxodonta africana (African savanna elephant). It matches the Rfam family "tRNA". Rfam says of the family: Transfer RNA (tRNA) molecules are approximately 80 nucleotides in length. Their secondary structure includes four short double-helical elements and three loops (D, anti-codon, and T loops). Lineage: Eukaryota; Metazoa; Chordata; Mammalia; Proboscidea; Elephantidae. The record is from Rfam by way of RNAcentral.